This 108-nucleotide ribosomal RNA is filed under the name Arthrobacter sp. ov407. Its description in RNAcentral is "16S rRNA. Bacterial SSU". It matches the Rfam family "Bacterial small subunit ribosomal RNA", at positions 1 to 105 of the family's 1533-position model. The record is from RNAcentral. Lineage: Bacteria; Bacillati; Actinomycetota; Actinomycetes; Micrococcales; Micrococcaceae.
CUUCAACGGAGAGUUUGAUCCUGGCUCAGGAUGAACGCUGGCGGCGUGCUUAACACAUGCAAGUCGAACGAUGACCCGGUGCUUGCACCGGUGAUUAGUGGCGAACGG